RNAcentral lists this ribosomal RNA (279 nucleotides) under uncultured bacterium. Its description in RNAcentral is "partial 16S ribosomal RNA". It matches the Rfam family "Bacterial small subunit ribosomal RNA", at positions 506 to 784 of the family's 1533-position model. The record is from RNAcentral.
UGCCAGCAGCCGCGGUAAUACGAAGGGUGCAAGCGUUGUUCGGAAUUACUGGGCGUAAAGGGCGUGUAGGCGGCUCGAUUAGUUAGAUGUGAAAGCCCAGGGCUCAACCUUGGAACAGCAUUUAAUACUGUCGAGCUAGAAUCCAGGAGGGGACAGUGGAAUUCCGAGUGUAGAGGUGAAAUUCGUAGAUAUUCGGAAGAACACCAGUGGCGAAGGCGACUGUCUGGACUGGUAUUGACGCUGAGGCGCGAAAGCGUGGGGAGCAAACAGGAUUAGAUA